Molecule: small RNA, 120 nt
Filed under: Paramagnetospirillum magnetotacticum MS-1
Lineage: Bacteria; Pseudomonadati; Pseudomonadota; Alphaproteobacteria; Rhodospirillales; Magnetospirillaceae
Description: Magnetospirillum magnetotacticum MS-1 ar14
Source: RNAcentral
GAAGGACGGACCACUCUCUCCCCCCCCCCGAGUGGCUUCGUCGAAGACCGGCAGCGUCCCCCCGUUGCCGGACACCGGAAAAUGGCCCCCGCGUCCUCCCCCCUGGCGCGGGGGCUUUUC